Molecule: long non-coding RNA, 501 nt
Organism: Gymnogyps californianus (California condor)
Lineage: Eukaryota; Metazoa; Chordata; Aves; Accipitriformes; Cathartidae
Exons: 3
Source: RefSeq, a predicted model, not a curated record
GGACUGGAGGAGCGGUAGGGGUUCGGUCUCUCAGCCCGCAGUCACUCAGCCCUUGCUCUGAGUCACCGUACACGCACUUCAAGGAAGUGAUACCGAGCACCGAACUGACCUCAGCCGCCGAGUUUCCUCGUUACAGGAGGCAGCAUCAUCUGGAGUUUUAAAGCACCAGAUGAUCCCCAGGCAAAGGCAGCAUAGGUACAAUGCUUGUGUUACCAGUGGGGGUCUGAAACCAGCUGCCCAAACAGCAAACUUAGACUUGCUAUCACUUGGAGAGCACCUGGGAAGCAGAACGAAGAUGUGUAGAUGCAAACCAGUUCAGCCCUCGAUUUCUGUGACCCAGGCUGCUGACUCAGCAACACCUAUGUUAAAGCGAUCAGGAGAAGGCACGAGAUGAAACACUGCUUCCCCGGUGUCCUGGUUUCCGCUAGGACAGAGUUAAUUUUCUUCCUAGUAGCUGGUAUAGUGCUGUGUUUUGGAUUGAGUAGGAAAGUAAUGUUGAUA